UGAAUGCACAGCUGUAAAGAGGUACCAUGUGGAGGUACAGUCCUAUGAUAUACCUUGAUUGCAUAGCUGUAAGUAGGUACCAUGUGGAGGUACAGUCCUAUGAUAUACCUAGAUAGCAUAGCUUUAAAGAAGUAACAAGUGGAGGUACAGUCCUAUGAUAUACCUUGAAUGCAUAGCUGUAAAGAGGUACCAUGUGGAGGUACAGUCCUAUGAUAUACCUAGAAAGCAUAGCUUUAAAGAGGUACCAUAUGGAGUUACAGUCCUAUGAUAUACCUUGAAUGCAUAGCUGUAAAGAGGUACCAUGUGGAGGUACA
RNAcentral lists this long non-coding RNA (314 nucleotides) under Octopus sinensis (East Asian common octopus). RNAcentral describes it as "uncharacterized LOC118762028". The record is from RNAcentral. Lineage: Eukaryota; Metazoa; Mollusca; Cephalopoda; Octopoda; Octopodidae.